GCGGGUAUAGUUCAGUGGUAGAACCUCGGCCUUCCAAGCUGAUGAUGCGGGUUCGAUUCCCGCUACCCGCUCCA
Molecule: transfer RNA, 74 nt
Filed under: Pseudomonas aeruginosa
Lineage: Bacteria; Pseudomonadati; Pseudomonadota; Gammaproteobacteria; Pseudomonadales; Pseudomonadaceae
Also listed under: 1 other name
Description: tRNA-Gly
Rfam family: tRNA
About the family: Transfer RNA (tRNA) molecules are approximately 80 nucleotides in length.
Source: RNAcentral